RNAcentral lists this ribosomal RNA (353 nucleotides) under Sarcosperma laurinum. RNAcentral describes it as "eukaryotic LSU rRNA". The stretch from base 1 to 87 matches the Rfam family "5.8S ribosomal RNA", at positions 70 to 154 of the family's 154-position model. Lineage: Eukaryota; Viridiplantae; Streptophyta; Magnoliopsida; Ericales; Sapotaceae. The record is from RNAcentral.
AAUUGCAGAAUCCCGUGAACCAUCGAGUCUUUGAACGCAAGUUGCGCCCGAAGCCAUUAGGCCGAGGGCACGUCUGCCUGGGCGUCUCACAUCGCGUCGCCCCCCCGCCCCGCGCCCUCCAAGGGUUGUCGGGGAGACCGGGGGCGGAUGUUGGCCCCCCGUGCGUCUCGGCGCGCGGCCGGCCGAAAGACGAGUCCCCCGCGACGGGCGUCACGAGAAGUGGUGGUUGCAAGACCGUUGCGUCGCGUCGUGCGCGCCCCGUCUCCGCGGGUUGUCUCAGUUGACCCUCGGGCCCCGUUUUCGCGGCUCCUCGACCGCGACCCCAGGUCAGGCGGGACUACCCGCUGAGUUUA